GUUAUCCUCACAGUGAAUGACCUGUAACUCAACUGUCCAAGACUGUUCGAGCAUGUUCUGAAGUUCCUGGAUCACAACCCAGUUGUCGUGCAAGCUGCUGUCACCACCGGAGAUGAGAUAUUGACGGUCUCGUGGAUAACCACUAUGGCGAGAGAUGUGUGCGGACAUCAUAUAAAGGAUAAAUCUAUUGCAAGCUGAACAAUUCACUAAUCACAAUGUGAUUCCGGACACACUAUGUAAAUAAGGUAUCUCACUUAUAUACAAAUUAAAGUAUUCGAUUUCAUUCAUUGAGCUUAUAAGAUUUUUCUUGUCAAUUUCUUUUAAAAUCUUGUAUCUCA
This is a long non-coding RNA of Neltuma alba, 338 nucleotides long. RefSeq lists it as uncharacterized. The record is from RefSeq and is a predicted model, not a curated record. The transcript is spliced from 3 exons. NCBI's taxonomy places the organism in Eukaryota, Viridiplantae, Streptophyta, Magnoliopsida, Fabales, Fabaceae.